RNAcentral lists this ribosomal RNA (254 nucleotides) under uncultured bacterium. RNAcentral's name for it is "partial 16S ribosomal RNA". It matches the Rfam family "Bacterial small subunit ribosomal RNA", at positions 524 to 776 of the family's 1533-position model. The record is from RNAcentral.
UACGUAGGGUGCGAGCGUUGUCCGGAAUUAUUGGGCGUAAAGAGCUCGUAGGCGGUUUGUUGCGUCGGCUGUGAAAUCCCGAGGCUCAACCUCGGGUCUGCAGUCGAUACGAGCAAACUAGAGUGUUGCAGGGGAGACUGGAAUUCCUGGUGUAGCGGUGAAAUGCGCAGAUAUCAGGAGGAACACCGGUGGCGAAGGCGGCCGGCUGGGGGGUGCCCUGACGCUGAGGCGCGAAAGCGUGGGGAGCGAACCGG